RNAcentral lists this ribosomal RNA (460 nucleotides) under uncultured bacterium. Its description in RNAcentral is "partial 16S ribosomal RNA". It matches the Rfam family "Bacterial small subunit ribosomal RNA", at positions 338 to 795 of the family's 1533-position model. The record is from RNAcentral.
CCUACGGGGGGCAGCAGUGAGGAAUAUUGGUCAAUGGGCUUACGCCUGAACCAGCCAAGUCGCGUGAGGGAAGACUGCCCUAUGGGUUGUAAACCUCUUUUGUCAGGGAGCAAUUGGCGCUACGUGUAGCGUUAUCGAGAGUACCUGAAGAAAAAGCAUCGGCUAACUCCGUGCCAGCAGCCGCGGUAAUACGGAGGAUGCGAGCGUUAUCCGGAUUUAUUGGGUUUAAAGGGUGCGUAGGCGGAAUGCCAAGUCAGCGGUAAAAUCGCGGGGCUCAACCUCGCUCCGCCGUUGAAACUGGCGGUCUUGAGUGGGCGAGAAGUAGGCGGAAUGCGUGGUGUAGCGGUGAAAUGCAUAGAUAUCACGCAGAACUCCGAUUGCGAAGGCAGCAUACCGGCGCCCAACUGACGCUGAAGCACGAAAGCGUGGGUAUCGAACAGGAUUAGAUACCCGGGUAGUC